Molecule: ribosomal RNA, 1514 nt
Filed under: uncultured bacterium
Lineage: Bacteria
Description: bacterial SSU rRNA
Rfam family: Bacterial small subunit ribosomal RNA
Source: RNAcentral
AGAGUUUGAUCAUGGCUCAGAACGAACGCUGGCGGCGUGGAUAAGACAUGCAAGUCGGACGGGAAUUCAUUUAUAGCAAUAUGAGUGGAUUCUAGUGGCGAAAGGGUGCGUAACACGUAGCUCACCUACCUCAAUGUGGGGGAUAGCUCGGCGAAAGCCGGAUUAAUACCGCAUGUGACCCCGCGAAAGCGGGAUUAAAGCUGGGGAUCGUAAGACCUGGCGCAUUGAGAUGGGGCUGCGGCCUAUCAGCUAGUUGGCGGGGUAACGGCCCACCAAGGCUUAGACGGGUAGCUGGUCUGAGAGGACGACCAGCCACACUGGAACUGAGACACGGUCCAGACACCUACGGGUGGCAGCAGUCGAGGAUUUUUCUCAAUGGGGGAAACCCUGAAGGAGCGACGCCGCGUGGGGGAUGAAGGUCUUCGGAUUGUAAACCCCUGUCAUCCGGGAACAAUGCUCCGCACCCAAUACGUGCGGAGUUGAUAGUACCGGAAGAGGAAGCCGUGGCUAACUCUGUGCCAGCAGCCGCGGUAAUACAGAGACGGCAAGCGUUGUUCGGAUUCAUUGGGCGUAAAGGGUGCGUAGGCGGUCCGUUAAGUCGGAUGUGAAAUCUCACAGCCUAACUGUGAGCGGUCAUUCGAAACUGGCGGGCUCGAGGACUGGAGAGGAGACUGGAAUGGUCGGUGUAGCAGUGAAAUGCGUGGAGAUCAAGAGGAACACUCGUGGCGAAAGCGAGCUACUGGACAAUAUCUGACGCUGAGGCUCGAAGGCCAGGGUAGCGAAAGGGAUUAGAUACCCCUGUAGUCCUGGCAGUAAACGGUGUGCGCUUGGUGUGAGGGGAAUCGACCCCCCUUGUGCCGGAGCUAACGCGUUAAGCGCACCGCCUGGGAAGUACGGUCGCAAGACUAAAACUCAAAGAAAUUGACGGGGACCCGCACAAGCGGUGGAGUAUGUGGCUUAAUUCGAUGCAACGCGAAGAACCUUACCUAGGCUUGACAUGCAUCUCUAAGCACGUGAAAGCGUGUGACCCUUCGGGGGAUUUGCACAGGUGCUGCAUGGCCGUCGUCAGCUCGUGUCGUGAGAUGUUGGGUUAAGUCCCGCAACGAGCGCAACCCUUGUGACUAGUUGCCAGCACGUUAUGGUGGGAACUCUAGUCAGACUGCCCAGAUCAACUGGGAGGAAGGUGGGGACGACGUCAGGUCAGUAUGGCCCUUACGCCUAGGGCUGCACACGUACUACAAUGCCCAGUACAAUGAGAACCGAGACCGCGAGGUGGAGGAAAUCUAUAAAACUGGGCCCAGUUCGGAUUGGAGGCUGCAACUCGCCUCCAUGAAGUUGGAAUCGCUAGUAAUGGCGCAUCAUCUACGGCGCCGUGAAUACGUUCCCGGGUCUUGUACACACCGCCCGUCACAUCAUGGAAGCCGGUCGCACCCGAAGUGCCUGCGCCAACCGCAAGGGGGCAGGGUCCUAAGGUGUAGCUGGUAACUGGGAUGAAGUCGUAACAAGGUAACCGU